Molecule: ribosomal RNA, 791 nt
Filed under: uncultured bacterium
Lineage: Bacteria
Description: bacterial SSU rRNA
Rfam family: Bacterial small subunit ribosomal RNA
Source: RNAcentral
UAGAGUUUGAUCCUGGCUCAGGAUGAACGCUAGCGGCAGGCUUAACACAUGCAAGUCGAGGGGCAUCGGGAGGGAAGCUUGCUUUCCUUGCCGGCGACCGGCGCACGGGUGAGUAACACGUAUGCAACCUGCCCUCUUCAGGGGGACAACCUUCCGAAAGGGAGGCUAAUCCCGCGUAUAUCGGUUUCGGGCAUCCGAGAUCGAGGAAAGAUUCAUCGGAAGAGGAUGGGCAUGCGGCGCAUUAGCUUGACGGCGGGGUAACGGCCCACCGUGGCGACGAUGCGUAGGGGUUCUGAGAGGAAGGUCCCCCACACUGGUACUGAGACACGGACCAGACUCCUACGGGAGGCAGCAGUGAGGAAUAUUGGUCAAUGGGAGAGAUCCUGAACCAGCCAAGCCGCGUGAGGGAAGACGGCCCUAUGGGUUGUAAACCUCUUUUGUCGGAGAACAAAACCCGGGACGUGUCCCGGACUGCGUGUAUCCGAAGAAAAAGCAUCGGCUAACUCCGUGCCAGCAGCCGCGGUAAUACGGAGGAUGCGAGCGUUAUCCGGAUUUAUUGGGUUUAAAGGGUGCGUAGGCGGUCCGUUAAGUCAGCGGUAAAAUUGCGGGGCUCAACCCCGUCGAGCCGUUGAAACUGGCAGACUUGAGUUGGCGAGAAGUACGCGGAAUGCGCGGUGUAGCGGUGAAAUGCAUAGAUAUCGCGCAGAACUCCGAUUGCGAAGGCAGCGUACCGGCGCCACACUGACGCUGAGGCACGAAAGCGUGGGGAUCGAACAGGAUUAGAUACCCUG